Molecule: ribosomal RNA, 442 nt
Filed under: Ochrobactrum sp. HE109C
Lineage: Bacteria; Pseudomonadati; Pseudomonadota; Alphaproteobacteria; Hyphomicrobiales; Brucellaceae
Description: bacterial SSU rRNA
Rfam family: Bacterial small subunit ribosomal RNA
Source: RNAcentral
ACAUUAGCGCAGCUUACACAUGCAAGUCGAGCGCCCCGCAAGGGGAGCGGCAGACGGGUGAGUAACGCGUGGGAACGUACCUUUUGCUACGGAAUAACUCAGGGAAACUUGUGCUAAUACCGUAUGUGCCCUUCGGGGGAAAGAUUUAUCGGCAAAGGAUCGGCCCGCGUUGGAUUAGCUAGUUGGUGAGGUAAAGGCUCACCAAGGCGACGAUCCAUAGCUGGUCUGAGAGGAUGAUCAGCCACACUGGGACUGAGACACGGCCCAGACUCCUACGGGAGGCAGCAGUGGGGAAUAUUGGACAAUGGGCGCAAGCCUGAUCCAGCCAUGCCGCGUGAGUGAUGAAGGCCCUAGGGUUGUAAAGCUCUUUCACCGGUGAAGAUAAUGACGGUAACCGGAGAAGAAGCCCCGGCUAACUUCGUGCCAGCAGCGGGCGGUAAUA